AUGUGAAUUAUUGUUCCUGAAGUUUUUCAGCUUAGUUUGGAAGAAAACCUUCAAGGUACAUUGUUCAACUCUAUUGAAUAAAUUGCAGGUAGAUUGGAUUUAAUCUUCCAGUUGCUGAUCUUUUCCAUCAUUUGUGUUGUUAGGGAAAAAAGAUCAUGUUGUCCUCAGUUGGAAUCAGAGAUAUAAGAUUGCUAUCAAUGUAGCUGAGGCACUUGAUUAUCUACAUAGCCGCAGUGCUUAGUCCAUUAUCCAUAGGGAUGUGAAAUCAUCGAACAUCCUUCUAGCCGAUGAUUUUGAGCCACAUAAUACAAAUGACCAUAUCGCUUGGGACUGGGAGUGAUGAAGUGCAAGUGCAAAAUGCAUUACCCCUCAUUCUGCAGUUUAUCAGCUCAAGAGGACAUGCAUUCUGAAAGCUUUCUCUAAGUUUGGGAGUGGAGAUAAAAAAGAAGCCACCUUUGUUAUUCCUGAGCUUAGGAAGUUGUCAGCUGAUGGCAAAGCUGGCAAUCUCACCAUCUUACUUUUUCUCCAGGGGAAGCUGCAAUUACUUCCAGUGAAAGUGAUCUACUCAAAGACCAAUUCGAUCUGGCAUCUUUUCCAUGUGAUGUAACAUCGAUGGAUGCCUACUUGAUAAAGUUCUUCCUAGUCGUCUAUCGAAAGACCAAAGAUCCUGGUUUGGACAGCCAUUACUGCAAAUACGACAACAACGGCCUUUAGCUAUU
Magnolia sinica is the source of this 719-nucleotide long non-coding RNA. RefSeq lists it as uncharacterized. The record is from RefSeq and is a predicted model, not a curated record. NCBI's taxonomy places the organism in Eukaryota, Viridiplantae, Streptophyta, Magnoliopsida, Magnoliales, Magnoliaceae. The transcript is spliced from 4 exons.